This 468-nucleotide ribosomal RNA is filed under the name uncultured bacterium. Its description in RNAcentral is "partial 16S ribosomal RNA". It matches the Rfam family "Bacterial small subunit ribosomal RNA", at positions 28 to 507 of the family's 1533-position model. The record is from RNAcentral.
GACGAACGCUGGCGGCGUGCUUAACACAUGCAAGUCGAACGGAAAGGCCCUGCUUUUGUGGGGUGCUCGAGUGGCGAACGGGUGAGUAACACGUGAGUAACCUGCCCUUGACUUUGGGAUAACUUCAGGAAACUGGGGCUAAUACCGGAUAGGAGCUCCUGCUGCAUGGUGGGGGUUGGAAAGUUUCGGCGGUUGGGGAUGGACUCGCGGCUUAUCAGCUUGUUGGUGGGGUAGUGGCUUACCGAGGCUUUGACGGGUAGCCGGCCUGAGAGGGUGACCGGCCACAUUGGGACUGAGAUACGGCCCAGACUCCUACGGGAGGCAGCAGUGGGGAAUAUUGCACAAUGGGCGGAAGCCUGAUGCAGCAACGCCGCGUGCGGGAUGACGGCCUUCGGGUUGUAAACCGCUUUCGCCUGUGACGAAGCGUGAGUGACGGUAACGGGUAAAGAAGCACCGGCUAACUACGUG